GUCGAGAAUCUUUCACAAUGGGGGCAACCCUGAUGGAGCGACGCCGCGUGGAGGAUAAGGUCUUCGGAUUGUAAACUCCUGUCAUGCGUGAACAAGGUUGCUUGGUUAAUACCUGGGCAAAUUGAUGGUAACGCAAGAGGAAGAGACGGCUAACUCUGUGCCAGCAGCCGCGGUAAUACAGAGGUCUCAAGCGUUGUUCGGAAUCACUGGGCGUAAAGGGUGCGUAGGUGGCGUGGCAAGUCAGAUGUGAAAGCCCGGGGCUCAACCUCGGAACUGCAUCCGAUACUGCCAUGCUAGAGUACUGGAGGGGUGACUAGAAUUCUCGGUGUAGCAGUGAAAUGCGUAGAUAUCGAGAGGAAUACCAAAGGCGUAGGCAGGUCACUGGACAGUUACUGACACUGAGGCACGAAGGCCAGGGGAGCGAACGGGAUUAGAUACCCCUGUAGUCC
Molecule: ribosomal RNA, 449 nt
Filed under: uncultured bacterium
Lineage: Bacteria
Description: partial 16S ribosomal RNA
Rfam family: Bacterial small subunit ribosomal RNA
Source: RNAcentral